This is a long non-coding RNA of Mustela lutreola (European mink), 1290 nucleotides long. RefSeq lists it as uncharacterized. The transcript is spliced from 5 exons. NCBI's taxonomy places the organism in Eukaryota, Metazoa, Chordata, Mammalia, Carnivora, Mustelidae. The record is from RefSeq and is a predicted model, not a curated record.
GUUUUUCUAGGUUAAGCCAAGACCCAGAUGAGCCACUGACUACAGGGGCAGAGGUCCUGAAUCUAACAUUGGAUGUAAUGGCUGGAGCUGCAGCAGCCAUAGCAGGCCAGGAAAAUACCACCUCAUAGGGCAUGACAGAAUGGAUAGCUGAAAGGAGCCUGGGUCUGUGACAACUUUAUGGAGUCACCAUUUCAGAGCCUGUCUUGGAUCUACUUCUAUAUGAGCUUUCAGAGUGCUAGAUGAUGGAUAUGCAAACAGAAACCUACCACAGUCCUUGGACACCCAAGAAUUCAUGGCCUCGUGGGAAGAUAGUUCAAGCCUAGACUGCAGUGCAAUAUGGUGCUUGCUUUCUAGAAGUAUGACAUUUGGGCUGCAGAGGCAUCAGCUCUGCCUGGGGGAAAAGAGAGAAUGUGUAGGAGUCUGCAGCUGGUCAAGGGGCUGAAUUUACUCCACCCCAUGCCCUGGAAUGAGUCUGUUACCUGUGUGUGGUUACCACCCCUGGCUGCAAGGAUUGCUGAGAGUGUACACACAGUCGGUGCUUAAUCAGUGCCAGAGGACCAGGCUUAACUGGCCCAAAGAUCCUGUGCUGGCAUUCUGCUGCCCUGCAUUUGAAGAGAUCUGGUGGAGGUCCAACAAGGAGGCAGUAUGGCUCAAGUCUGGAUGGCCAUCAUCUUCCGGCCUGAGCACCUUUUCCUUCCAUCUCACCUCCCUGGCAGACCUACAUCCUGGAUGAACACAGUCCACUUUUACUUGAAGACCACCAGUCCCCACCCCCAGGGCCUGAGCACACUUGAGAAAGAUUCACAUCCAUGCAGACUGGUGCCACUUACACAUCCACGGGUUUCAGAUUCUGCCAGACCCUCAAGGUUGCCUUGUAAUCUUUCCAUUUCCCUAAGAAUGAAUGGAGACUUGGCUGUGUCUCCAUAGUUUUGGAAAUCCAGCUAUUUCUCAGCAUUUGGAGUGUGAAAUUAGGCAGAUGGAACAUCCAGAUUACGGACUACACUGCAUCUGGAAACCGUGGCAUCAAACAGACAUUUGGGGCUGGUUGCUAUACAGCGUGUGGUCAAAGAAGGCAUUAAUUCCAGUCCAUUCUUGAUCCCUAAAUGCAGCCCAGCAAACCAGGAAAGAGCAUGAACCCUGGGGACUUUCGCCUCAAAUCCCACCCCCUCCUCUUACUCUGUGUGAUCUUAAAUGUAGACUUAAGAUUUGGGCUUUCUAACCCAUAAAAUGGGCAUAAAAUACCUCCAAGAAAUGUUUAAAGGAUUCAGAGAAAUAAACCACAGAGACACA